This 468-nucleotide ribosomal RNA is filed under the name uncultured bacterium. Its description in RNAcentral is "partial 16S ribosomal RNA". It matches the Rfam family "Bacterial small subunit ribosomal RNA", at positions 28 to 507 of the family's 1533-position model. The record is from RNAcentral.
GACGAACGCUGGCGGCGUGCUUAACACAUGCAAGUCGAACGGAAAGGCCCUGCGUUUGUGGGGUGCUCGAGUGGCGAACGGGUGAGUAACACGUGAGUAACCUGUCCUUGACUUUGGGAUAACUUCAGGAAACUGGGGCGAAUACCGGAUAGGAGCUCCUGCUGCAUGGUGGGGGAUGGAGAGAUUCGGUGGUUGGGGAUGGACUCGCGGCUUAUCAGCUUGUUGGUGAGGUAGUGGCUUACCAAGGCUUUGACGGGUAGCCGGCCUGAGAGGGUGACCGGCCACAUUGGGACUGAGAUACGGCCCAGACUCCUACGGGAGGCAGUAGUGGGGAAUAUUGCACAGUGGGCGGAAGCCUGAUGCAGCAACGCCGCGUGCGGGAUGACGGCCUUCGGGUUGUAAACCGCUUUCGCCUGUGACGAAGCGUGAGUGACGGUAAUGGGUAAAGAAGCACCGGCUAACUACGUG